GUCGAGAAUCUUUCACAAUGGGGGCAACCCUGAUGGAGCGACGCCGCGUGGAGGAUAAGGUCUUCGGAUUGUAAACUCCUGUCAUGCGUGAACAAGGUUGCUUGGUUAAUACCUGGGCAAAUUGAUGGUAACGCAAGAGGAAGAGACGGCUAACUCUGUGCCAGCAGCCGCGGUAAUACAGAGGUCUCAAGCGUUGUUCGGAAUCACUGGGCGUAAAGGGUGCGUAGGUGGCGUGGUAAGUCAGAUGUGAAAGCCCGGGGCUCAACCUCGGAACUGCAUCCGAUACUGCCAUGCUAGAGUACUGGAGAGGUGACUAGAAUUCUCGGUGUAGCAUUGAAAUGCGUAGAUAUCGAGAGGAAGACCAAAGGCGUAGGCAGGUCACUGGACAGUUACUGACACUGAGGCACGAAGGCCAGGGGAGCGAACGGGAUUAGAUACCCGGGUAGUCC
Molecule: ribosomal RNA, 449 nt
Filed under: uncultured bacterium
Lineage: Bacteria
Description: partial 16S ribosomal RNA
Rfam family: Bacterial small subunit ribosomal RNA
Source: RNAcentral